GGGCAUAUGGUGUAGGGGUUAUCACGUUCGCUUUGCAUCGGGCUGAACUUUCCCUUCUUGCGAAAGGUCUCCGGUUCAAAUCCGGAUUUGUCCA
Molecule: non-coding RNA, 94 nt
Organism: Lentinula aff. lateritia
Lineage: Eukaryota; Fungi; Basidiomycota; Agaricomycetes; Agaricales; Omphalotaceae
Source: the annotation of a GenBank genome assembly